This 237-nucleotide ribosomal RNA is filed under the name bacterium enrichment culture clone ALO1_GLFRUDD03GYUOE. Its description in RNAcentral is "partial 16S ribosomal RNA". It matches the Rfam family "Bacterial small subunit ribosomal RNA", at positions 9 to 244 of the family's 1533-position model. The record is from RNAcentral.
GAGUUUGAUCCUGGCUCAGAUCGAACGCUGGCGGCAUGCCUUACACAUGCAAGUCGAACGGCAGCACGGGAGCUUGCUCCUGGUGGCGAGUGGCGAACGGGUGAGUAAUGCAUCGGAACGUAUCCUGGAGUGGGGAUAACGUAGCGAAGUUACGCUAAUACCGCAUAUUCUGUGAGCAGGAAAGCGGGGGAACCUUUCGGGCCUCGGCGCGUCUUGGAGCGGCCGAUGUCGGAUUUA